UCCGGUUUGUCACCGGCGGUCUCCUUAGAGUUCCCAACUUAAUGAUGGCAACUAAGGACAAGGGUUGCGCUCGUUGCGGGACUUAACCCAACAUCUCACGACACGAGCUGACGACAGCCAUGCAGCACCUGUGUCCUGGUUCCCGAAGGCACCCCCGCAUCUCUGCAGGGUUCCAGGCAUGUCAAGGCCAGGUAAGGUUCUUCGCGUUGCAUCGAAUUAAACCACAUGCUCCACCGCUUGUGCGGGUCCCCGUCAAUUCCGUUGAGUUUCAACCUUGCGGCCGUACUCCCCAGGCGGAGGACUUAACGCGUUAGCUGCGACACUGGAAGGCUUACCCUCCCAACGUCUAGUCCUCAUCGUUUAUGGCGUGGACUAC
RNAcentral lists this unclassified non-coding RNA (376 nucleotides) under uncultured Gammaproteobacteria bacterium. Its description in RNAcentral is "contains 16S-23S intergenic spacer region". Lineage: Bacteria; Pseudomonadati; Pseudomonadota; Gammaproteobacteria. The record is from RNAcentral.